UAUCGAUCAGGGGAAGAGGAAAGAGGGGUGAAACCCUAAUUCAAGAAAAACCUUCAAAUUGAAAGGGGAAUUGAGGGCCAUUUGGAUGCAUGAACCAAGAAUGUUAAUCCCCUAAGCGUUUCCAAUAACAAUGAGGUGUAGAUGAUAAGCAUCAUGUCAAGAGGACGCAAGCACAAAUGGCAAUCGGGUCAAGAGGAGACAAGGAAAUGGUCACGAAUACGGACGCUUAAGGUAGUACGAGUCACAGAUUUUCAUUCCAAGGAGUAACGAUCAAAGACCAAGUCACAAGUCGGAUUGUACGGGAAUACUUGAUUAUGUAAAAUGAUAGUUUUAAGUUAUUCUUUUAUGUUGCAAAUAUGUACGAAAGAUAGUUUUGUUGUAAGAAGGUAUUUUAUAUU
Long non-coding RNA from Helianthus annuus (common sunflower), 398 nucleotides. RefSeq lists it as uncharacterized. The record is from RefSeq and is a predicted model, not a curated record. The transcript is spliced from 3 exons. NCBI's taxonomy places the organism in Eukaryota, Viridiplantae, Streptophyta, Magnoliopsida, Asterales, Asteraceae.